RNAcentral lists this ribosomal RNA (253 nucleotides) under uncultured bacterium. RNAcentral's name for it is "partial 16S ribosomal RNA". It matches the Rfam family "Bacterial small subunit ribosomal RNA", at positions 524 to 776 of the family's 1533-position model. The record is from RNAcentral.
UACGUAGGGUGCAAGCGUUGUCCGGAUUUACUGGGCGUAAAGAGCGUGUAGGUGGCCAAACAGGUCCGUUGUGAAAACUGGAGGCUUAACUUCCAGACGUCGACGGAAACCGUGUGGCUAGAGUCCGGAAGAGGAGAGUGGAAUUCCUGGUGUAGCGGUGAAAUGCGCAGAUAUCAGGAAGAACACCAAUGGCGAAGGCAGCUCUCUGGGACGGUACUGACGCUGAGACGCGAAAGCGUGGGGAGCGAACAGG